Molecule: ribosomal RNA, 448 nt
Filed under: uncultured bacterium
Lineage: Bacteria
Description: SSU rRNA
Rfam family: Bacterial small subunit ribosomal RNA
Source: RNAcentral
AGAGCGAACGCUGGCGGCAGGCUUAACACAUGCAAGUCGAGCGGGCGUAGCAAUACGUCAGCGGCAGACGGGUGAGUAACGCGUGGGAACGUACCUUUUGGUUCGGAACAACACAGGGAAACUUGUGCUAAUACCGGAUAAGCCCUUACGGGGAAAGAUUUAUCGCCGAAAGAUCGGCCCGCGUCUGAUUAGCUAGUUGGUGGGGUAACGGCUCACCAAGGCGACGAUCAGUAGCUGGUCUGAGAGGAUGAUCAGCCACAUUGGGACUGAGACACGGCCCAAACUCCUACGGGAGGCAGCAGUGGGGAAUAUUGGACAAUGGGCGCAAGCCUGAUCCAGCCAUGCCGCGUGAGUGAUGAAGGCCCUAGGGUUGUAAAGCUCUUUUGUGCGGGAAGAUAAUGACGGUACCGCAAGAAUAACGCCCGGCUAACUUCGUGCCAGCAGCCGC